RNAcentral lists this unclassified non-coding RNA (352 nucleotides) under soil metagenome. RNAcentral's name for it is "partial contains 5.8S ribosomal RNA, internal transcribed spacer 2, and large subunit ribosomal RNA". The stretch from base 1 to 120 matches the Rfam family "5.8S ribosomal RNA", at positions 35 to 154 of the family's 154-position model. The record is from RNAcentral.
GAUGAAGAACGCAGUGAAAUGCGAUAAGUAAUGUGAAUUGCAGAAUUCAGUGAAUCAUCGAAUCUUUGAACGCACAUUGCGCCCGCCAGUAUUCUGGCGGGCAUGCCUGUUCGAGCGUCAUUACAACCCUCAGGCCCCCGGGCCUGGCGUUGGGGAUCGGCGGAAGCCCCCUGCGGGCACAACGCCGUCCCCCAAAUACAGUGGCGGUCCCGCCGCAGCUUCCAUUGCGUAGUAGCUAACACCUCGCAACUGGAGAGCGGCGCGGCCACGCCGUAAAACACCCAACUUCUGAAUGUUGACCUCGAAUCAGGUAGGAAUACCCGCUGAACUUAAGCAUAUCAAUAAGCGGAGG